Molecule: ribosomal RNA, 459 nt
Filed under: uncultured bacterium
Lineage: Bacteria
Description: partial 16S ribosomal RNA
Rfam family: Bacterial small subunit ribosomal RNA
Source: RNAcentral
CCUACGGGGGGCAGCAGUGAGGAAUAUUGGUCAAUGGCCGAGAGGCUGAACCAGCCAAGUCGCGUGAGGGAAGACGGCCCUACGGGUUGUAAACCUCUUUUGUCGGGGAGCAAAGCGAGUCACGUGUGACUCAUUGAGAGUACCCGAAGAAACAGCAUCGGCUAACUCCGUGCCAGCAGCCGCGGUAAUACGGAGGAUGCGAGCGUUAUCCGGAUUUAUUGGGUUUAAAGGGUGCGCAGGCGGAGGUGCAAGUCAGCGGUCAAAUUGCGGGGCUCAACCCCGUACUGCCGUUGAAACUGCAGCCCUUGAGUGCGCGAGAAGUAUGCGGAAUGCGUGGUGUAGCGGUGAAAUGCAUAGAUAUCACGCAGAACUCCGAUUGCGAAGGCAGCAUACCGGCGCGCAACUGACGCUCAUGCACGAAAGCGUGGGUAUCGAACAGGAUUAGAUACCCCUGUAGUC